RNAcentral lists this ribosomal RNA (325 nucleotides) under uncultured eukaryote. RNAcentral's name for it is "partial 18S ribosomal RNA". It matches the Rfam family "Eukaryotic small subunit ribosomal RNA", at positions 1470 to 1796 of the family's 1831-position model. The record is from RNAcentral.
CCCUUAGAUGUUCUGGGCCGCACGCGCGCUACACUGAUGCAUUCAACGAGCCUAUCCUUGACCGACAGGUCCGGGUAAUCUUUGAAUCUGCAUCGUGACGGGGAUAGAUUAUUGCAAUUAUUAAUCUUCAACGAGGAAUGCCUAGUAGGCGCAAGUCAUCAGCUUGCGUCGAUUACGUCCCUGCCCUUUGUACACACCGCCCGUCGCUCCUACCGAUUGGGUAUGCUGGUGAAAUGUUCGGAUCGGCCGUUUGUCGCGGUUUCCGCGGCUCGUGGCUGAGAAGUUCAUUAAACCCUCCCACCUAGAGGAAGGAGAAGUCGUAACA